GGGCUUGACUGGAUUUGACAGCGGGUUGGAAUGGUACGUAAGCACGCAGAGCGUCGAUGAUUGGCUCUUAAAUCUCAGUUGUCAAAAAUUAAUUGGCGAAAACAAUUACGCUCUCGCUGCCUAAUCGAAGUACAGUAGAUUACUGGCUUUAUCCCGUCACAAGGUGAUGGGACGAGACAUCGCUCCAAGGAUGUUGUUCCGAAUCUAAGGGCUUAGCGGUGCAGGUAAAUCGGAAAUAGUCGGGCAAUGCCUCGCUUGCUCGGUGAAGUUUUAGAGGAUAAGGUGCCGGUUGGUGGUCCAGGUCUUGCCGUCACACGAAAAUCAAAGGCUGGAAUAAACGUGUAGAAAGCGUAUGGUUUCCCUGUUUGGACGAGGGUUCGAAUCCCUCCAGGUCCAC
This 397-nucleotide transfer-messenger RNA is filed under the name uncultured Prevotella sp. It matches the Rfam family "transfer-messenger RNA". From Rfam's summary of the family: Bacterial tmRNA, also known as 10Sa RNA or SsrA, is named for its dual tRNA and mRNA-like properties. The record is from RNAcentral. Lineage: Bacteria; Pseudomonadati; Bacteroidota; Bacteroidia; Bacteroidales; Prevotellaceae.